AUUGAACGCUGGCGGCAGGCUUAACACAUGCAAGUCGAGCGGGGGAAGGUAGCUUGCUACUGGACCUAGCGGCGGACGGGUGAGUAAUGCUUAGGAAUCUGCCUAUUAGUGGGGGACAACAUCUCGAAAGGGAUGCUAAUACCGCAUACGUCCUACGGGAGAAAGCAGGGAUCUUCGGACCUUGCGCUAAUAGAUGAGCCUAAGUCGGAUUAGCUAGUUGGUGGGGUAAAGGCCUACCAAGGCGACGAUCUGUAGCGGGUCUGAGAGGAUGAUCCGCCACACUGGGACUGAGACACGGCCCAGACUCCUACGGGAGGCAGCAGUGGGGAAUAUUGGACAAUGGGGGGAACCCUGAUCCAGCCAUGCCGCGUGUGUGAAGAAGGCCUUAUGGUUGUAAAGCACUUUAAGCGAGGAGGAGGCUACUUUAGUUAAUACCUAGAGCUAUUUGACAGUACCAGAGGAAUAAGCACCGGCUAACUCCGUGCCAGCCGCCGCAGUAA
Molecule: ribosomal RNA, 500 nt
Filed under: uncultured bacterium
Lineage: Bacteria
Description: partial 16S ribosomal RNA
Rfam family: Bacterial small subunit ribosomal RNA
Source: RNAcentral